This 360-nucleotide ribosomal RNA is filed under the name Triticum aestivum (bread wheat). RNAcentral describes it as "partial small subunit ribosomal RNA". Lineage: Eukaryota; Viridiplantae; Streptophyta; Magnoliopsida; Poales; Poaceae. The record is from RNAcentral.
CAACUUAUGGAGAGAUAUAGGGAGCAUAAGAAGGACUUGCAUAUGGUGUUCAUUGACUUGGAGAAGGCCUAUGAUAAGAUACCGCAGAAUGUCAUGUGGUGGGCCUUGGAGAAACACAAAGUCCCAGCAAAGUACAUUACCGUCAUCAAGGACAUGUACAAUAAUGUUGUGACAAGUGUUCGAACAAGUGAUGUCGACACCGAUAACUUCCCGAUUAAGAUAGGACUGCAUCAGGGGUCAGCUUUGAGCCCUUAUCUUUUUGCAUUGGUGAUGGAUGAGGUCACAAGGGGUAUACAAGGAGAUAUCCCAUGGUGUAUGCUCUUUGCGGAUGAUGUGGUGCUAGUUGACGAUAGUCGGACG